Molecule: ribosomal RNA, 312 nt
Filed under: uncultured bacterium
Lineage: Bacteria
Description: bacterial SSU rRNA
Rfam family: Bacterial small subunit ribosomal RNA
Source: RNAcentral
GACGAACGCUGGCGGCGUGCCUAACACAUGCAAGUCGAACGGAGCAGAUCCCUUCGGGGGUUUGCUUAGUGGCGAACGGGUGAGUAACGCGUGAGGAACCUGCCUUUCAGUGGGGGACAACAGUUGGAAACGACUGCUAAGACCGCAUAGGUAUGGACACUGCAUGGUGACCAUAUUAAAAGUGCCAAGGCACUGGUAGAGGAUGGACUUAUGGCGCAUUAGCUGGUUGGUGAGGUAACGGCUCACCAAGGCGACGAUGCGUAGCCGACCUGAGAGGGUGACCGGCCACACUGGGACUGAGACACGGCCCAG